Molecule: long non-coding RNA, 585 nt
Filed under: Zea mays
Lineage: Eukaryota; Viridiplantae; Streptophyta; Magnoliopsida; Poales; Poaceae
Description: long non-coding RNA (ZMAY_LNC000471)
Source: RNAcentral
CAAUGAAUUUUUUUGUGAAAUAGUGACCUUGAACAAUAGUUUUAGUGUAUAGUCAAUGCUUUUGACUACUGGUCUGUAUUUACAACAUCAGUGAUUUAACUCAUGGCUAUGUUCUCUCCGACUCUUUGUAGGAAGGAAAUAUAAUCUGGAGAUUGAGUAAAAAAAAAGUCAGGUGAGAACUUUGGAAGCGCUGAUGCCUGAUGCUAUGAUUGAGAUCUAUAGCUAGUUUUGUUCAGGAUAUCAUUGAAUAUUGGGUUAACAACCGGAACCGUCGUUUUUAUUCUUUCCACAUCAAAUUAAAUUCAUGAAGAGGUUGUGAGGCAUAUAUUAAUGAUCUGGUUUCUUCCAUCCAUUUCGUGCACCAGAGUGUCUUUUGUCUUUGAGAAAGGUUAGAAACAUGCAUGUUAAUCUUGUUUACAUAUAUUGAUAUAUAGGAAGAGUAGUACGUUCCUGAAAAAAAAAAAGAAAAAAAAAUGUGCGUAAAGUGCAACUCAUGGCAAGAUCUCUUGGUACUUGAUACAAAGGUCCUUUAUGCAGGUGAUCGAUAAGAGAGUUGAGAAAACGGAAGAUAAAAAAAGGGUGUCC